CUCCUUGCUUUUUUAAGCUAUGUACCAACAACUAUAUGUUUUGUUCGAUACUUUAAUGUACGUUUUAAACCUGACAGAACAGACUUUUUCCAGGGAAUAAAUCUUGCUGCAUAAUGUCAUAAAUGUCAUUGAUAACCAUGACGACAAAGGCUACCCUGGUCAUUCUGAACAAGAUGUUAUCCAGACCCAGUGCCUGAGAGACACAGUUGAAACGAGGACCAGUUGCACAGCACCUCUAGAAUUACCCUGAGAAGCUUACAAGCAUCCUCUCAAGACAGAGCUGUAAAGCCCUUCUGGGAGGGUAAUUACUUGGCCCAAUAGAGAGGACACUGUCAUUAAUACUCAGCUGGUCCAACGCUGUCCCAAAUCCCUGGCUGGGUUCAGGGAUAAGCCUUAAAACCAGAGUGGAGGCUGUAUCCCUAAAAGGAAACAAAGCUCUGUCUUCAGCCAGACACAGACAUUCAGGUGCAACAUUGCCUGUACUUUUAUGUUGCUGUGAGCCCUACAUCAAAAAGAGAAUGAAAGCUGAUCUAUUUACUCCUGGCAGAGAAGAAAGGAGGAAGGACGUCCAGGUGCUACCAGAAAACCAUUUGUGAGGACAUGGACCAGUGCCAAGGUCACAGCCCACCUGAAUAGAACUUGAAAUCCAGGCACACCCAGUCCAGGGGAGCCCUGAGUUCUUCCUGAACUUAAACACUGGGUUUAAAAAAAAAAAAACAGUCACAGGUGCGGGGACACUGGUCCCCUGCCUGCUGCGAAGUAGAUAACGCGAGGACAGCCUCAAAACAACUCCAGACGCUUCGGGUGCCUGAGCCUCACUCGGUGGGGGCGGCGCAGAGGUCCACGUGCAGUACGCGAGCUGGGGAGGUGCGGGAGCCCGCGCUCUGCCCGUGCGCCGCCGACCCACUCACUGCCGCUCGGGGCUUUGGGUUCCCCCCAUGCAAAAGGAGGACCAUGCUAUGUCAUCAAGGGCUGAUGCGAAGAAGAACCCAGAAGCAGGCGUCAAUAAGUAACGAAAGAAUGGGGGUAGCCGUGCCUAAUAUCGUUGCUGCCGUGGCAAUUACUGCAACGGAGGCUUGAGAGUUAGGGCGCCAGAAACGCAAACUUUCCAGGGGACCAAACUCAUCCAAGCCUCCUAAGGGGCCUGUGGAGACCUCUGCCCGCUCUGGGCCCCGCCGCCGUCCGCGGUCCGCGCCACCUUUCCCGCGGCUGGCUCCAGGCGGGGCGGGGCAGCGGCGGCGCGGGCCGGGCGGCGGGGAAGGGAGGGAGCGCGGUUGCACACGCGGGCCACUGCCCCCAACGGCUGCGCUGGGCUCGCGGCGCC
This 1324-nucleotide long non-coding RNA is filed under the name Homo sapiens (human). Its description in RNAcentral is "HSALNT0370412". The record is from RNAcentral. Lineage: Eukaryota; Metazoa; Chordata; Mammalia; Primates; Hominidae.